RNAcentral lists this unclassified non-coding RNA (4744 nucleotides) under Leishmania donovani. RNAcentral's name for it is "gene:LdHU3.29.3930(CDS-product:RNA_polymerase-ass ociated_protein_CTR9_putative)". Lineage: Eukaryota; Euglenozoa; Kinetoplastea; Trypanosomatida; Trypanosomatidae. The record is from RNAcentral.
CGACAGCUCCCGAAAAGCUCCGCGAGUGUGCACGCGUGUCUGUGUCCGUGUGCGUGUGCCCUGUGACCUUCAUACGCAUUACCAUCACCUCUUCUUACACGGCCAGCCCUCACCUUCUUUGCUUGUGUGCUCUACUCGCCCUAAACCCCUUGUAGAGCUCACUGAGCGCCGUUUAUUCAUCGUUCACGGGGACUAGCGGUGCUGCACAGUUGGGACCGCGUGCAGGCCUGCGAACGCCUCCACGCUCCUCCUUCUCCCAGCUCCGCGACAUCGAUCUGCCGGCUUCCUCACCCGACGGUGCCGCGGUACUAGUGACGGCGUCCGCUUGCUCGUACCCUAAAAAGUGUGUGCGUGUGGAGGAAGGCCCUGCCCCGCCUCUGGAGGGAACAAGGCGCAUCAAGGGCGAGGGACGCUUUCGUUCACAAUCUCUUGCCCUGCAUGUGUGUAUGUUUCGGUGUGUCUGUGCGCUACCCUAGCUACGCAGUUGUUGUUCAUCUCUGUUUCGUCUCCACGUCGUGCUUGUGCAUUUUUAUUCUCCUUGUGGAACUGUCUUGUUGCUUGGCGCUGCGUAAAGGGGACGAAUAAGGCUAAGGGCGGUAGGAGUGCGAAGGGAACGUAGGUGUGUGAGUGUGUGUGGAGCCACAGCGACAAGCGCCUGAGGCGACACCCCCUCUUCUCCGCUCUUUCUCGCCGCCCUUUGCUUUCUCUUUGACUGUUUCUCCGUUUUUCCCUAUUCGUGCACGGCGUGCCCGUGUGUGUGCCUGUGCCUGUGACACCAUCUGUGCAUCAGCGUGUGCUAGUCGGUGCGUGGGCCCGUCGGUAGCUCCUUGUUCCUCAGCGGAAGGAGGCUUUCGCGCGCGCUUUCUUUCGGCCUGUUCUUCUCCCCCCCUCCCCCACCAGCACACAGCCUCCUCCUUCGUUUUCUUUGGCGCUCUGUGCUGGUGCCUCCCCAUCCCGCUAUCACUCUCUCUCCAUUCCUUCACCAUGACGGCGGUAGCAGCCACGACAAGCAUCACGACGACGCGGGCGUUGGACGAAUUCCGCAGCGGUAAUGUGGAUACGGCGCAGCUCAUACUAGAAGAGGCGGCCAAGUCCGAGCAUAAUGUGAAUGAGCUGCUGUCAAUCCACUGCCUGCGCGCCACCUUGGCUGCGAUGAAGGGCAGCAUGGACGUCACGGCCAUCACUGCGCAGCUCGCUCCCGGCGAGCCGGUGCGGGUGCCGGUGCAGAGCUACUUAGAAGGCAUUGCCGCCAUGGCGCGCGGCGAUCUGACCACGGCACGAAGGCGGCUGGAGACGGCAGUGGAGCGGUGCGAGGGCUUUGGCGCCGCCAUGGUGUGUCUCGCCGCCGUGUACUACCUCACUAGCCAAUAUGAGAAGAGCUACGCGCAGUACUGCUACACGUUGAAGAUGUUCGGCUCCGAGAAGACGCCGCCGGUGGUGCGGGUAGGAAUGGGCCUGUGCGCCUUCCGGCUGCAGCGACUCGUGGAUGCCCGGCGCAUCCUUGAGCGCGCCAUCGAGGUGCAGCCGGAUGAUGAGCUCGCGUGGCUGGGCCUGCUGGCCGUCUACAUUAACCUUCGCAUGCUGCCACAGAUCCACACGGCCGUGAUGCGUCUCAAGCAGUUGAUGCCUCAGAACACGACGGUGCUGCUGAAAGUGUGCGACUUAGUCUACUUCCGCUCCUUGGAGGACGGGCGGCUGAAGAGCUCCAUGGGGCGGCUGCGUAGUCUGCUGCGGUAUGUGCGGCAGACGGCCUCGCCUGAGGAAAUGGCACUGGUCGACUUCCACGAGGGCCGGCUGCUGCUCGCCUGUGGCGAGGUGGCGGCGGCGCAGCCGCUCCUAGAAUCCGCUGUGCGUGCGAACCCGAACCUCCUAGCCGCCCGUAUCCACUACGCCCGACUACUGAUGCACUCCAACCGCCACGCCGACGCGGAGACGCUGCUGACGGAGGUGAACAGGACAUGGCCCAACGAGAAGGAGGUGCUACAGAUGCUCGCCAUUCUUGCCACACGGGCUGGCCGACACAGCGAGGCCCUUCGCUACAGUCACACACUAACUAUGACGGUGGCGCAGGGCGACGUGAACUCGUGGGCGUUGGCCGCCGUAUGUUCCCGUCUAGACACCGAGCACUGCAGGCGGAUCUGCGCGCACGUGCGUGCCGUUCAGCGGGAGCUGAAACUGCCCUCUAGCUGGAAGCUGAGCGCCAACCUCGCCAUCCUGUCAGGAGAUGUGGAGGCGGUGCAAGGCAUCGUGGACGCGGAGCUAGGGGCGGCCUUUCUCAUGUCCAACACCGCAGUGGACGUUUCCUAUGUGCCGCUGUUGUACAACCUGGCCCUUCUGCUUGAGAAGCGGGAGCUGGCGCGCGCACGUCAACUUUACGUGUACCUCGUCAAGCACCACAGCACCUUUGCUGCACCCUACUACCGCCUGCAUUUCCUGGCGAAGGAGGCAGGCCAGCUGCAGCAGGCCAUGGCGUGGCUCCAGUGGCUGCUGAAGGUGCACCCGAUGGAGGCCGCGGCCCAGACGUGCAUGGCGCAGCUGUACAUGGAGACGUCAAGCGCGAAGGAGGCGCUGGCUAUCUUUAAGAAGGUUAACGCCUCCGAGCUGCAGCUUCCUGUUGCACUGGCCGUCGGUGCCACCUCUCUGCAGGCGUGCCAGCAAUCGUCCUCGCAGUGGCCGAAGCUGCUCGCCUCGGCGCGCUCCUUUUACCGGGAGGCCCUCGCCAAGGACCCACGCAACAUUCUCGCAGCUCACGGCUACGCGUGUUGCGACGGGCUGGAGCGGCGCGGCGACGCCGCUGAAGCGAUGCUGAACAGCGUGAGUGAGGUGACCCCGCUCUCCACCGUGCCGACAAGCAACGUCGACGCGCACCGCGCCAACGUGAAGAUGCUCAGCCACGGCUACAAGCAGGCCGCGGACUACUUUUCGCGCAUGCCGACGCGCACAUCGGAGCAGGACGCGAUGUACUCGUACUGCGUGGCUACCGAGGGGCGGUACGCGGAGGCCCUAGAGUUGAUCCACGCCGCCUCCAUCAAGGCACCAGGUGAGGAUCCGAUGCUGGUGUACAAUACAGCCCUGCUGCACUUCAUGGCCUUCGUUGACGGGCUGAAAGGCACCCGCGCCCUUACGGCGGCGCAGGGUGAGUCGCUUCUCUCCCACCUCGAGGCCGGGCAGCAGGGCACCACUUCCCUGGAUGGCAUCAAGGGCAAGUACGAGUUGAUGAGUCGCGCCAAGCGCUACCUUCGAUCCAUCAGCGCCUACUGCGAGCGCCACCGUGCCACCGUGCACACGCUUGUGGAGGCUGGAGAGCAGCGGGCGAAGGAGCUGGCGCAGUCGGCGGAGGGAUGGCGGCGCGUUUUCGCGUCGCACAAGGGGGAGCAGGAGCGCCGACAAGAGGAAGAGGAAUUGGCGGAGCACCAGAAGGCGGAGGAGCGCAAGCUGGCGGAGGCAGACGUGUAUGCACGCUUUCGCCAAAGCCGAAUUCAGCAACCGGCGGUGCUGCUGAACGCAGAUUUGCUUGCAGCGACGAUGGCGGAUGCCUUGCAGGACACGAUGCCGGUAGACAAACCGCCAGCGGCGCUGGGGGAAGAGGAGUAUGGGAUGCCGUAAUCCACUCCUGCUUCCAUUCCUGCGGUUCAUUUUUCUUGUUCCCUGGUUUGCAGUGCAUCACUGCCCUGUUGUCGGUGAGCUGGUUUGUUGUCUUCUACGUGUGCGUAUGUGCGUAAACGCUGCGCUUCUACACGUCAUCUGUUGCGGCGGCCGGCGACAAUCGAGAGUGCGUUGUGGCUUCCACGUCAUGGGCCCCUCGUUGAUCGGGCGCUGGGCAGCCGCUUUGUGCUGGUGCACGUUAGCUGGGGCGGCGCUGUCCACCGUGACGCAGGUGAGUGCCUACACCGCAGCGAGAGGAGGGGGCGAGGAUGGAAACGAAAGGGAGGGCCGCUCGUCCUACAGCUGCGGAGUGGGGGGGGACCGGGUGCCCUGCGCACGAUUGCAGGUGCGAAAGGAAGCGAUGGUGCACCAUGCGCUGUGGUUCACUUCUGUGGUGCCUUUUUUUGUCUUGAGCGUGCGCGUGUGUGUCUUCGUUGUUGACGUCUGCGUGUGCACGUGCGUACUUGCGUGUGCCUCUCUUCCUCUUUCAUGGUAUAGUGGGAGUUCUUCUUUACGUUCUUCUAACCGCGAUGAGGGAUCAACUCCCAAUCAAUUUGUGGCUGCCCGCUUGUCGUUCUUACCUGAAGGAGUAUGGGCGCGUGCGUGUGUUGGUGCUUCCAUACGACCCCGCCUCCCCUUCCCCAGGGAGGUACUCUACGCACAAGAGGUGUACGCAUCCGUCUCUCGUUUUAUGCGCUAACUCUCACGUAUGUAAUCCUUCCCCAUCCCUUCAUCCGUGGUUUGACGCGAGCCCGCUGCCGUUCGCAGGUGGACGCCUAGUGGCGUGGCUUCAGUGCCAAUGCGUCUCUUCCGAAGCCUGGAAGCUCUAUGCCGUGCACCGCCAUCUCUUCCUUGGCCAACACGCGCAGAACGAUGAAGCCGUGGCGCUCCGCGGAGGGGCUCCUUUCCCUGCUCUCUUUCGGUUUGUUGCCUCUCUGAUGUGUGCACACACGCGCUCCCAAGACCCAUGCCUGACAACGCCGGUCAGCGCUGCUCACAUGCCAGGAAGUUGUACCUCUAUUUCCUUCUCCAUCUCCCUCACGCACGUGUGUCCCCCCCACUCCCCCCUCCCCACACACACGUCUAUGCCCUUUUCCAG